UUGGAGGGCAAGUCUGGUGCCCGCAGCCGCGGUAAUUCCAGCUCCAAUAGCGUAUAUUAAAGUUGUUGCAGUUAAAAAGCUCGUAGUUGAAUUUCGAGACCGGUUUACUGGUCGUGCUUUUGUACGUACUGGUAUUAUUGGAUUCUCCUUUCUGACGAAUCUUAAUGCCAUUAAUUUGGUGUUUUGGGGAAUCAGGACUGUUACUUUGAAAAAAUUAGAGUGUUUAAAGCAGGCUCACGCUUGAAUACAUUAGCAUGGAAUAACGGAAUAGGACGUUUGAUUUUAUUUUGUUGGUUUCUAGGAUCGACGUAAUGAUUAAUAGGGAUAGUUGGGGGCAUUAGUAUUCAAUUGUCAGAGGUGAAAUUCUUGGAUUUAUUGAAGACUAACUACUGCGAAAGCAUUUGCCAAGGAUGUUUUCAUUAAUCAAGAACGAAAGUUAGGGGAUCAAAGACGAUCAGAUACCGUCGUAGUCUUAACCAUAAACUAUGCCGACUAGGGAUCGGACGAAGUUAAUUUUAUAAUGACGCGUUCGGCGCCUUACGGGAAAC
RNAcentral lists this ribosomal RNA (548 nucleotides) under uncultured Glomeromycotina. RNAcentral's name for it is "SSU rRNA". It matches the Rfam family "Eukaryotic small subunit ribosomal RNA", at positions 548 to 1098 of the family's 1831-position model. The record is from RNAcentral. Lineage: Eukaryota; Fungi; Glomeromycota.